Molecule: long non-coding RNA, 155 nt
Filed under: Coturnix japonica (Japanese quail)
Lineage: Eukaryota; Metazoa; Chordata; Aves; Galliformes; Phasianidae
Description: lncRNA (ENSCJPG00005020595.1)
Source: RNAcentral
GCCUCACCCAGAGGUUACAUAUACCCACCUGGGCUCCUUUGGAAGCCUGUUGCUAAGUCUGGUUGGUGCUGGAGGGGCUGCUUUGUCUUCAACAAGGCAGAGAACAUCUGGAGGAGCUUUUUGGAUAACACCACUAGGCUUGGAAAGGAGAAUUU